UUGCCCUACGGGACGCAGCAGUGGGGAAUAUUGCACAAUGGGGGAAACCCUGAUGCAGCGACGCCGCGUGAGUGAAGAAGUAUUUCGGUAUGUAAAGCUCUAUCAGCAGGGAAGAUAAUGACGGUACCUGGCUAAGAAGCUCCGGCUAAAUACGUGCCAGCAGCCGCGGUAAUACGUAUGGGGCAAGCGUUAUCCGGAUUUACUGGGUGUAAAGGGAGCGUAGACGGAGGAGCAAGUCUGAUGUGAAAAUCCGGGGCCCAACCCCGGAACUGCAUUGGAAACUGUUUAUCUAGAGUGUCGGAGAG
RNAcentral lists this ribosomal RNA (305 nucleotides) under uncultured bacterium. RNAcentral's name for it is "bacterial SSU rRNA". It matches the Rfam family "Bacterial small subunit ribosomal RNA", at positions 334 to 656 of the family's 1533-position model. The record is from RNAcentral.